UACGUAGGUGGCAAGCGUUGUCCGGAUUUACUGGGCGUAAAGGGCGCGUAGGCGGCCAACUAAGUCAGACGUGAAAUCCCUCGGCUCAACCGGGGAACUGCGUCUGAUACUGGAUGGCUUGAAUUCGGGAGAGGGAUGCGGAAUUCCAGGUGUAGCGGUGAAAUGCGUAGAUAUCUGGAGGAACACCGGUGGCGAAGGCGGCAUCCUGGACCGGCAUUGACGCUGAUGAGCGAAAGCUAGGGGAGCAAACGGG
Molecule: ribosomal RNA, 253 nt
Filed under: uncultured bacterium
Lineage: Bacteria
Description: partial 16S ribosomal RNA
Rfam family: Bacterial small subunit ribosomal RNA
Source: RNAcentral